This is a long non-coding RNA of Macaca mulatta (Rhesus monkey), 1796 nucleotides long. The record is from Ensembl. Lineage: Eukaryota; Metazoa; Chordata; Mammalia; Primates; Cercopithecidae.
GAGCAAUGAGCGUCUUGGGCACGGUUUCGAGGCGGGGUUCCGAGGAGCCGGGGGUGGGGCCAGCUUGGAGCGGAUACAGCAAAAAGCUCUCACCAGAGGCUGAGCAGAUGCUGAUGCCAUGCUUCUUGAUUUUCCCAGCCAACAGAAUUGUGAAUUGAAUAAACCUCUCUUCUUUACAAAUUACCCAGUCUCAGGUAUCCUGUUAUGGCAACACAAAAUGGACUAAGACAGGAUGUCGCUAUCAAUCACGCUUCGACUGAGUACAGCCAAACCAGGAUACUCAGGGAAUUGGAACCUGUUAUCAGACUUCCAUUUAGUACAGACACAGCGCCAGGGGACUGAGCAUUCUUCGGCAACACCCUUUGGACCCCUUCUCUACACCAAUGCUGUGUGACCUGAAGGGCUGGGGACAUGAAGGAGCAGCUCAGCUAAGGUGACCCAGAUGGUUGGGCUCGGAGCUGGAAGAACACUGUGGUCUCCUACCUCCCAAUUCCUGCAUCUGUCCUGCUUGUAAGAGGCUUGCCAAGAACAGGAGCUCUUGUUUGUAGGUCUCUAGGGAUGGCCACCGCAGGGAGUGUGAUUUGAAGAUGGGUUCGGGGUGACAUUACAGGCCCCCUUUAGGCUCUGCUGGUUGCAGGCCAGCUCUCUGGGGUGCCUUUCUGAUGGCUGCUAUUUUAAAGGCAGAUAGGAUGACAUUAACAACUUUUAUCAUUCAACUAGCAAGGGCUCAGGACGGGCAGCCCCCUUCUGGGAAUGUGCCUAACUCCUGCCCCAGAAUGGAGGAGUCUCUGUGGCUCUAGGGGAGCUGGCCUUCUGUGGAGUCUGAGCAAUGUACUGCACAGGGAGAAGACGCUGCCAGCUGAUACCAGUGUCUCUAUGCAGAGACAUUUCCAGGACACCACGUUAAGCAGCAGAGACACAAGAAGUCAAGGCCCAUGUGCUCUGGUGUGGACGUGUGCCUCCUGUGCCUCAGUGGCAUCAUCUGUACCAUGGGAGGUGUGUAAUGAGGGGUGCAAUCACGACUGCAAGUGCACGUACAUAGUAGAUGCCCAGGAAGUGCCAGUCCCCAUCUCCUUCCCAGUUUCUUCAGAGCCUUCUGGAAGGCACUGGCAUAGCCCAGUCCUGAGGCAUUGCUUUUUCUUUCAUGGAUGAUCAGGAGCUUCUGUGAUUUCUUCCCCCUCACUCUUCAUUUUGCCAAGAUGUCGCCCAUAGUAACCUCAGCAGUGGAGCGGGGAUUCUGCACUGUUCCACUGCCCGGGGCUGCACAUCCACGUGAGCGGGGCCGACCCGUCCCAGAACGCUUUGCCCUUGGAAGGCAGCAUCACCUGCAGGGGCAAUGCUGUGGACAGCUCUGGCAUGUCCUCCAGGGCCCUGGCAUGGUCAGUGAGAAAAGGCCCCCAGGCGUGGGCUUCUCCCAUCAGUCAGGUUCAGAAGGCUUCCUGGGGUAAGUAGAGACGCUCCCUACCCAACUGAGUUGUUAAAAUGACAGGAGGGAGAGGGGAAGGUCUGGGCCUGUGGCACUGUGAUUUUUUUUUUCUUUCUUUCUUUUUUUUUUUUUUUGGAGACUCGUUGGGGUAGAAAUGAGGACAGGAAGAAGUACAAUCCGUCUGGGAUUGGUUUAUUUUUAUUGCUUUUUAAAACCAUGUGACUAAUUGGUGUUCAUUGAAAAAGAGAAAACAAAAAUAAGCCAAGAGAAGACAGCAAAAAUAGUCUGUUAACAUCUUGGCAAAUAUCCUUUUUCUCUGCAUAGAAACAGAGAAUACUUUUGUUUCACUUAUAAAAUGUUUCUUGCUGUA